GAGUGUUAUAGCUCUUUUAGAAUUUGUCUAGCAGGUUUUCUGAUCUUCACUGGAAAGUUUUA
Molecule: small nuclear RNA, 62 nt
Filed under: Nomascus leucogenys (northern white-cheeked gibbon)
Lineage: Eukaryota; Metazoa; Chordata; Mammalia; Primates; Hylobatidae
Description: U7 small nuclear RNA
Rfam family: U7 small nuclear RNA
About the family: Animal histone pre-mRNAs are spliced by a different mechanism than nuclear pre-mRNAs and self-splicing introns.
Source: Rfam by way of RNAcentral